GCUGGGAAGAGGAAGAAAGCGAGAGUCCAGGAGCAGUGGGGAUAGGAACACAGAGGAAAGUAUAAAUUCUCUAUUUUCUCUUCUAGCACUGGAUGAGGAGAUUUGAUUUUGUGUUUUCCCAGUGCCUCCCAUUCCUAUUGUUCUUCGAUUUUCCUCCCAUUCCCUUUAGCU
Non-coding RNA from Triticum urartu, 171 nucleotides. NCBI's taxonomy places the organism in Eukaryota, Viridiplantae, Streptophyta, Magnoliopsida, Poales, Poaceae. The record is from Rfam.